UGGGGGAUAUUGGACAAUGGGGGAAACCCUGAUCCAGCGACGCCGUGUGGGUGAUGAAGGCUUUCGGGUCGUAAAGCCCUGUCAGGAGGAAAGAACGCUCUUAUGGUAAAUACCCAUAGGAAGUGACGGUACCUCCAAAGGAAGCACCGGCCAACUCCGUGCCAGCAGCCGCGGUAAGACGGAGGGUGCAAGCGUUGCUCGGAAUCACUGGGCGUAAAGGGUGCGUAGGCGGUCUCUUAAGUCUGGCGUGAAAGCCCAGGGCUCAGCCUUGGAAGUGCGCUAGAAACUGGGAGGCUUGAGUAUCGGAUGGGAGAGUGGAAUUCCUGGUGUAGCGGUGAAAUGCGUAGAUAUCAGGAGGAAUACCGGUGGCGAAGGCGACUCUCUGGACGAUAACUGACGCUGAGGCACGAAAGCGUGGGGAGCAAACAGGAUUAUAUACC
This 440-nucleotide ribosomal RNA is filed under the name uncultured prokaryote. RNAcentral's name for it is "bacterial SSU rRNA". It matches the Rfam family "Bacterial small subunit ribosomal RNA", at positions 355 to 786 of the family's 1533-position model. The record is from RNAcentral.